This is a long non-coding RNA of Hippocampus zosterae (dwarf seahorse), 276 nucleotides long. RefSeq lists it as uncharacterized. The record is from RefSeq and is a predicted model, not a curated record. Lineage: Eukaryota; Metazoa; Chordata; Actinopteri; Syngnathiformes; Syngnathidae. The transcript is spliced from 2 exons.
AAUAGUAUUGAGACAGGUUGAAAAACAGACAUUGAACAAAUCAUGUUAACUUGUAAGUAACCAGGAGAUGUGAAAAAUAAACACAAUCAAAUGUAUCCUUAUCAUUGUGGUGAAAAUGUACAAACCCCAACUCCAAUGAAAUUGGGUGUUUUGCAAAUCCUUUUCAUUAUAUGUUCAAUUAAAUACACCACAAAGACAAUAUUUGUUUGAUCAAAUUGAAAAACUAUUGAUUUCCUUUUUUUGCAAAUAUUCACUCAUUGUGAAUUUUAUGUGUGC